This 253-nucleotide ribosomal RNA is filed under the name uncultured prokaryote. Its description in RNAcentral is "partial 16S ribosomal RNA". It matches the Rfam family "Bacterial small subunit ribosomal RNA", at positions 525 to 777 of the family's 1533-position model. The record is from RNAcentral.
ACGUAGGGUGCAGGCGUUAAUCGGAAUUACUGGGCGUAAAGCGUGCGUAGGCGGUCUGUUAAGACAGGUGUGAAAUCCCCGGGCUUAACCUGGGAACUGCGCUUGUUACUGGCAGACUUGAGUGUGGCAGAGGGGGGUGGAAUUCCACGUGUAGCAGUGAAAUGCGUAGAGAUGUGGAGGAACACCGAUGGCGAAGGCAGCCCCCUGGGCCUGUACUGACGCUCAUGCACGAAAGCGUGGGGAGCAAACAGGA